Alligator sinensis (Chinese alligator) is the source of this 417-nucleotide non-coding RNA. NCBI's taxonomy places the organism in Eukaryota, Metazoa, Chordata, Crocodylia, Alligatoridae. The record is from the annotation of a RefSeq genome assembly.
AUGACGUGGCUCGCAGCUACUGGUUGUUCUUCCCCCACAGGUGUCAGCGCUGAGAUCCAGCUGACCCAGUCCAGGGCAGAAAUCAAGAGGGCUGGGGAGUCAGUGCAAGUGAUGUGCAAAGCCUCUGGUUACACCUUCACCAGCAAUAACAUGAACUGGGCCCGUCAGGCCCCCAGGAAAGGGCUGGAAUGGUUGGCGUACAUUAACCCUUCUUCCGGGGACACCGGUUAUGCCAAGGCCUUACAGGGUCGACUCGCUGUCAGCAAAGAUGCCUCCAUCAGCACGGCCUAUCUGCAGCUGAGCAGCCUGAAAGUUGAUGACACGGCCAUGUAUUACUGUGGCCGCCGCACAGUGCGACAAAAUGCAUCCAGAGCAAUACAAAAACCUCACUCUACAGGAAUCUUUGUUUCUUGCUGA